This 499-nucleotide ribosomal RNA is filed under the name uncultured Glomeromycotina. Its description in RNAcentral is "partial small subunit ribosomal RNA". It matches the Rfam family "Eukaryotic small subunit ribosomal RNA", at positions 591 to 1092 of the family's 1831-position model. Lineage: Eukaryota; Fungi; Glomeromycota. The record is from RNAcentral.
CCAAUAGCGUAUAUUAAAGUUGUUGCAGUUAAGAAGCUCGUAGUUGAAUUUCGGGAUCAGACUGUCGGUCGUGCCUCGGUACGCACUGGCAUUAUUGGUUCCUACCUUCUGAAGAACCGCGAUGUCAUUAAUUUGGUGUCGUGGGGAAUCAGGACUGUUACUUUGAAAAAAUUAGAGUGUUUAAAGCAGGCGCACGCUUGAAUACAUUAGCAUGGAAUAAUGAAAUAGGACGUUUGAUUCUAUUUUGUUGGUUUCUAGGAUCGACGUAAUGAUUAAUAUGGAUAGUUGGGGGCAUUAGUAUUCAAUUGUCAGAGGUGAAAUUCUUGGAUUUAUUGAAGACUAACUACUGCGAAAGCAUUUGCCAAGGAUGUUUUCAUUAAUCAAGAACGAAAGUUAGGGGAUCGAAGACGAUCAGAUACCGUCGUAGUCUUAACCAUAAACUAUGCCGACUAGGGAUCGGAUGAUGUUAAUUUUUUAAUGACUCAUUCGGCGCCUUACG